CAAAUCAGGUAGGACUACCCGCUGAACUUAAGCAUAUCAAUAAGCGGAGGAAAAGAAACUAACAAGGAUUCCCCUAGUAACUGCGAGUGAAGCGGGAAAAGCUCAAAUUUAAAAUCUGGUGGUCUUUUGGCCGUCCGAGUUGUAAUCUAGAGAAGUGUUAUCCGCGCUGGACC
This 173-nucleotide ribosomal RNA is filed under the name Cortinarius roseoarmillatus. RNAcentral's name for it is "partial 28S ribosomal RNA". It matches the Rfam family "Eukaryotic large subunit ribosomal RNA", at positions 1 to 176 of the family's 3401-position model. The record is from RNAcentral. Lineage: Eukaryota; Fungi; Basidiomycota; Agaricomycetes; Agaricales; Cortinariaceae.